RNAcentral lists this non-coding RNA (171 nucleotides) under uncultured Terrisporobacter sp. Lineage: Bacteria; Bacillati; Bacillota; Clostridia; Peptostreptococcales; Peptostreptococcaceae. The record is from RNAcentral.
UAUUUUAGGUUCUACAAAGAUUAAUAGGGAAAGAGGUGUAAUUCCUCUACAGCCCCCGUUACUGUGAGGUGGACGAAACUCAAUAAACCACUGUAGAAAUUCGCAUAGCAAAUUUUUAUGGGAAGGUGAGGAGUAGGAUGAAACUAAGUCAGGAGACCUGCCUAGAAUAUA